RNAcentral lists this ribosomal RNA (465 nucleotides) under uncultured Klebsiella sp. RNAcentral describes it as "bacterial SSU rRNA". It matches the Rfam family "Bacterial small subunit ribosomal RNA", at positions 338 to 795 of the family's 1533-position model. The record is from RNAcentral. Lineage: Bacteria; Pseudomonadati; Pseudomonadota; Gammaproteobacteria; Enterobacterales; Enterobacteriaceae.
CCUACGGGUGGCAGCAGUGGGGAAUAUUGCACAAUGGGCGCAAGCCUGAUGCAGCCAUGCCGCGUGUGUGAAGAAGGCCUUCGGGUUGUAAAGCACUUUCAGCGGGGAGGAAGGCGUUAAGGUUAAUAACCUUGGCGAUUGACGUUACCCGCAGAAGAAGCACCGCCUAACUCCGUGCCAGCAGCCGCGGUAAUACGGAGGGUGCAAGCGUUAAUCGGAAUUACUGGGCAUAAAGCGCACGCAGGCGGUCUGUCAAGUCGGAUGUGAAAUCCCCGGGCUCAACCUGGGAACUGCAUUCGAAACUGGCAGGCUAGAGUCUUGUAGAGGGGGGUAGAAUUCCAGGUGUAGCGGUGAAAUGCGUAGAGAUCUGGAGGAAUACCGGUGGCGAAGGCGGCCCCCUGGACAAAGACUGACGCUCAGGUGCGAAAGCGUGGGGAGCAAACAGGAUUAGAUACCCCGGUAGUC